This 657-nucleotide ribosomal RNA is filed under the name uncultured Acidobacteriota bacterium. Its description in RNAcentral is "bacterial SSU rRNA". It matches the Rfam family "Bacterial small subunit ribosomal RNA", at positions 655 to 1312 of the family's 1533-position model. Lineage: Bacteria; Pseudomonadati; Acidobacteriota. The record is from RNAcentral.
AGGAGAGUGGAAUUCCUGGUGUAGCGGUGAAAUGCGUAGAUAUCAGGAGGAACACCGGUGGUGUAGACGGCUCUCUGGACCGUAACUGACGCUGAGACACGAAAGCGUGGGUAGCAAACAGGAUUAGAUACCCUGGUAGUCCACGCCCUAAACGAUGCAUAUUUGGUGUGGGCAGUUCAUUCUGUCCGUGCCGGAGCUAACGCGUUAAAUAUGCCGCCUGGGGAGUACAGUCGCAAGGCUGAAACUCAAAGGAAUUGACGGGGGCCCGCACAAGCGGUGGAGCAUGUGGUUCAAUUCGACGCAACGCGAAGAACCUUACCUGGGCUCGAACGGCUGGUCAACGGAGGUGGAAACACUUCUACCCCGCAAGGGGGUCCAGUCGAGGUGCUGCAUGGCUGUCCUCAGCUCGUGUCGUGAGAUGUUGGGUUAAGUCCCGCAACGAGCGCAACCCUUGUCCUGUGUUGCCAUCAUUCAGUUGGGAACUCGCAGGAGACCGCCAGGGAUAACCUGGAGGAAGGUGGGGAUGACGUCAAGUCCUCAUGGCCUUUAUGUCCAGGGCUACACACGUGCUACAAUGGACGGUACAAAGCGCAGCAAACCCGCGAGGGGGAGCCAAUCGCAAAAAACCGUUCUCAGUUCGGAUUGCAGGCUGCAACU